UUUUCGUUUGGAGAAAAUGUAAAAAAGGGCAAAAUUGUCAUUUUACAAUAAAAGGUGUAUAUAAGACAAAUUGUAUGAUUUUUCUACAAGUUUCUACUACUUUCCUACUGAAAAAAAAAAAUCUGAAAUUAUCUUCCCCUUCCUCUCUAUACCAUCGCCCCUCCUCUCUUGCUCACCAAUCCAUCAAAAAAAAUUUCAUUCUUUCAAGUGAUUCUUCAUGUUUUGCUAAUUUCUUGAGCAUAGAACAAAGGGAACUAUUAGAGGGUUUAUUCCUUCAAUCUUUUCUCACGUGAGAAGUUGUUCAUAUGCACUCUAACAAGGAUCUAAGAGGUUAAGAACGGAAUUGGUGAUAUUGCAAAGAGAAUUGAAGUUUGGAGCUAUAAUUUGAACAUAAGAGGCAAGUUUGAGCAUGUUGGAGCAAGACACAAAAUCUAGGGUUUGGGCUUUUGAUCUGAAGCUUGAAACGAAGCAUGAGCUGCCAAGAAGUGGAAGCUAUGAGCUGAAGCAUAAAAAGGGAUUAAAGUUCCAAAAUAGAUUAUUUAUGGGACUGAAAUGAGAAUUUUGUAUAUGCUGGUUGAUAAAGUAGGAGUAUGCCGCAAGUGGGUUGGACUGUUUUAGAAAAGGAAAGACCUAUAAGCUAAGGCAGAAGCUAUUUUGGAAAAGUGAUUAUGGAGUUUUAGAGAUAGAAGAAGCUGCAAAUUGUGGAUAAGUUGCUUUCAAUCUCCAGGAAUGAUUCACGAUAUUCAGGUUGCUAGAUGACAGAAUGGUUCGUGGUGAAGAGGCAGAAGUUGUCGGAUCAUAGGAAGUUCACGUCAAUGGUAUUAUUUCAGAGGUAUAAGACGAGCAUUUCCAUAUUUCAUUAAGAGGAAAUUUUUAUUAUUGAAAUUUUAAUGUAUCCAAUGCCAAGUUUAACACACAUGCUAGAUAUCCUAGGUAAUGUCUAGUAGGGGUGUUUCAAUUUGGUAUCAGAGCAGGUCGAUUCAGAUCGUGCCUGGGUCAUUAGAAUUCAAUAAAAUGCAGUGGGACCAUUGAGUUCCGGAUAUUUAUUCUAAAUGUCAUGUCUAGCUGAGCCUGAUCAACUCAGACUAGUAUAUGAUAGUUAGAACAAGUGUCUGAGAGCUGAAUAGGGCCUAGGAGGAAUGAAGCGUCCGAAGAAGAAACAUCAUGGUGUUAUGUUUUGUGAUGAAUCUUGUUAAGGAAGUAUUUGACUCCAAUUGUGGCUGGUAACUGCGAAGCUUAAGAUUCUUCGAGUAUAUAAGGGAAAUGUUGUGGGUAAGACGGAUUACUUUAAUGUCAUUGAACAACACUUCAUAUGUGGAUACAAGAGAAGUAAGAUAUUCAGGACGAUUAAGGGAUGAUUAUAACCUUAACAAGAGCAGUAGUAUAAGAAGCAUAAGCUAGGUAUAAAGAAAAGAAAUAUUUCUGAAGGCGUAAAUAAGGAUGCGGGAUCAGGAGAGGAACUUGACGUGAGGGAAUUAUUAGACGGUUAACAGAAUUUAUAAGUGCUCAGGAGAAGUAGAAGAUGUAAGAAACACUCAAGAUUUUAAUGUCUGAGUUGUUAAGUGAAUUAAUUGGAAAAUUAAGUAAAUUAUUUUAGAACAGACGAAAAUAACCCCUUUACGGAGUGGACAACGCAAACUAGAUAAACUAUGUCAGAUUAGCCACAUUCCCCGAAUCUUAAGUGCCAGAUUUAUGAAUCACGAAGUGAAGGUGCUAUGCGGCGUAAGAGUCAAGAAGGAUGAAUAAAGAGUAGUGCAAGGAUCUUUUAUGGGUCAAGUAAGAUUCAGAUGUAUUUUUAUUGACAAUAAUUAUAGAGAAGUUAAGAUAACGGGAGUUGUACACGAGAAAACUAAAUUAGACCCCGUAUCUAUCACAAGUUAUUAAGUUGUCUUCUGAACUAAGAAAUACAAGUUUAGCAGUAGGUGGAAAGAGAUCCCGGUAAUGGCAUGAGACAAGAUGUAAUUUUCGGUUGAAACGGAAAAUAAAGAUUUAAUAAUAAGUUAUCGGAGUUCAGUGAAUUAAUGGACGAGUAAUGUCAAAUUCUUUCAACAGAAUGUGUUACCGCAUGAAUAUAAUAAGUUGAUGUGUUAAUGAUUAAUCAAGAUUUUUGAAUUUGAAAAUCAUUUUUAAGGUUCUGUUAUAGGAAAGGAUGUCGCUAGUGCUAAUGAGUUAAGAACGAAGUAAAGUAUUAAGGAGUUAAACAUUUUCGUCCGAUGAUUUUUCUUAUGCAAGUGUCCUGAAAACCAAAAUAAUGAAUUUUUGGAGUUGAAGCUAUCUCAUAGGAGAUCGUAAGUGUAAUUGCCACUAUGACAAGACUGAAAAUAAGCCUCACGCUGUCAAGUACAUUUGAGUAUGUAAACAAACGAGAUUUUAAUGGUUAUGCAAAGUCAUGAUAAUGUGAAUGAAAUCUUGUAUGAUAUCAAUGUUAUGCGAAGUCAUAUGAAUUGGUUCUAACAAUAAAAUGCUAAGCAAGACAAUUGAUGUAUAUACUUAUAGAAAUUAUUUGAAAGAAAAAUUGAAACGAGUAACAUGCUCGUAGAAAGAAAGAAAAAAAAAUAACAAUAAAAUUGCGAAAAUAUCCGUUUGCUACAACGAAGAGAUAAUGUAGCCUAUGAGGUACGGCUCAUAGUAACAAAUGCAAAAAUUCCGUUUGCUACAACGAAGAGAUAAUGUAGCCUGAGGUACGGCUCAUAGUAAUUAAUGUGAAAACUCCGUUCGCUACAACGAAGAGAUAAUGUAGCUUAUGAGGUACGGCUCAUAGUAACAAAUCGAGAAAAACUCCGUUUGCUACAACGAAGAGAUAAUGUAGCCUAUGAGGUACGGCUCAUAGUAAUAAAUGUGAAAAUUUCGUUUGCUACAACGAAGAGAUAAUGUAGCCUAUGAGGUACGGCUCAUAGUAACAAAUUCAAAAAUUCUGUUUGCUACAACCAAGAGAUAAUGUAGCCUAUGAGGUACGGCUCAUAGUAAUUAAUGUGAAAACUCCGUUUGCUACAACGAAGAGAUAAUGUAACCUAUGAGGUACGGCUCAUAGUAACAAAUCGAGAAAAACUUCGUUUGCUACAACGAAGAGAUAAUGUAGCCUAUGAGUUACGGCUCAUAGUAAUUAAUGUGAAAACUCCGUUUGCUACAACGAAGAGAUAAUGUAGCCUAUGAGGUACGACUUAUAGUAACAAAUCGAGAAAAACUUCGUUUGCUACAACGAAGAGAUAAUGUAGCCUAUGAGAUACGGCUCAUAGUAAUAAAUGUGAAAAUUCCGUUUGUUACAACGAAGAGAUAAUGUAGCAUAUGAGGUACGGCUCAUAGUAAUUAAUGUGGUAUAUAUGCACACAUUGAAAUGUAUAAAAAAAAAUAAAAAUAAAAAAUUAAUGACAUGAACUUUAAGUAAGAGUUAUGAUUAUGAUUAUGAUUAUGUGUAAAAAUAAGAAUAUGACAUUAUGAUAGAAUCAUUAUAGUAUAAGGUAGUGAUCCUAGUUAUCCCUGAUCGCUCAGUUAUGUGUGAUAAAGACUGUAUAAACCCGAAAUGGGUUAAGUUUAGAAUAGAUGGCGAUCUUAGGUUCCCUGCAAUUGCCUACAACCUAGGAUAGGUGGAACUCACUGAGACAUCCUGUCUCACCCCAAUCCCUUUUAUUUAUUUCAGAUAUUCAGGUUGCUAGAUGACAGAAUGGGUUGUGGUGAAGAGGCAGAAGUUGUCGGAUCAUAGGAAGUUCACGUCAGUGGUAUUAUUUCAGACGUAUAAGUCGAGCAUUUCCAUAUUUCAUUAAGAGGAAAUUUUUAUUAUUGAAAUUUUAAUGUAUCCAAUGCCAAGUUUAACACACAUGCUAGAUAUCCUAGGUAAUGUCUAGUAGGGGUGUUUCACAAAUCCAUCCAUAGCUGUCUUCUAGUAGUGUAUUUGGUGGAGGCAUAUAUAGCAGCUGUGUAUAUAAUAGACCCAUUUGAAAUGUAAGAUAGAGCAAUGCAUUGUGCACUAUUGAAAAGAAUGUUGGUAUUAAUUUGAUUGCUCCACAAACACCAAAUUUUGUUGUUGUCAUUAACCACUGAGUUUUGAAGAUGGAGCCUAUGCCAAUACCAGGCAGGUAUCUGAUUGUAAGCAACAAUAGGUUCAGCCAGAAAAAGAAAUUAUGGUUUAUGAGACUUAACCAGUUGAAACAGAUGCACUUGGGUGUCAAGAUUCCCAAUGCCUCUAAUGUUCCAAUAUAUGUACUUCAUUGUGGAACACUAGUUUGAGUAAUUAUUUGACUGCCAACCAUUAAAACUUCAUGGGUUUCUUGCAACCAUUCCAUACUGUACUUAAUAAUUCUUCUGUUCAAGGGCACUCAUUGUUUUGAUCGGCCACACACAAUAAAAAUACACUAUUAAUGUCUAUGAAACAAUGUCCUCAAAUCAUACAAUAUAAUAAAGCAAAGUUAGUUCUUUGGCAAGUUAGACAUUUGUCAUCUUCUAAGAGCAUCCUUCCUUGACACUCUUUCUAAAUUAUUGCUUAAUAAGGAAACUAUAAUAAUUUUUUAUUUUUUUUAGGCUGUAUUUCUUUAUUUAAUAUUUUUACAAUUUUUUUUUUUUUUGUAGAAACCAAAAAGUUUCCAUCUUUUUAAUUUCCAGCAGAUUGAAAAUUAACAAAACUUUCAAUUUCCUGCUUAGAAUACUACACCCCAUUUUGAUAAUAUCAAUCGGGUGACUUUCAAAGAAUGAAAAUGAACAAAAAUUUCAAUUUCCUAUGGAGAUAUAUAUUAGUGUAAAAAUCGCUAAUGACAAGUGCCAAGGUGCUGGAAAUUUCAAGGAGCUAAUAGAUAUGAAAGGAAGAAUUUUUUUUUUUUUUUUUUUUUAAGUAUCGUUGGUUGGAAAAACAAGAAUGUACCAGAUUUUUGGAUUUAGUGGAAGUGAUAGUUCUUCUGACCUUAAUGUUUUGUUGAUGCUAUUUCCACCAUCAUCUUUUUUGUUUUUGUAGAAACGUUUCGGUUCAACUUUUGUGUUGCUCAAUCCAAAUUGAUAGUCCUAUGAAUUUCCAGCUAUAAAUUGUUGUAUGUUUCUUCUCUCCAUAAUGGUAGAGAAAAUGAAUUUUGGGAUAGCCUAUGUAGGAGGAUUCUGGACUACUCUUCUGUCAUGGGUUAAUCUAUAACUAUAUCUUACACAUUGUUUCAGUUGAUGAUAUUAUGCAGACAGAUUUGUUGUCGCAUCAUAGUAAUACCAUUUUAAGCUGCUUUACCGGACCUUCAAUUAAGUGUGAUUGAAUUAUUAUUAUAUGAUGAUUAAUUAUAAUAUCCAUUUAAUUUUUUAUGCAAUUCAUAAAAUGCACUUUUUGUCAUUCAGGGUGCAUUCAUUUAUGACUUCCUAUGCUUCUUUUUUUUUUUUUUUCCUUUCAUUCUUCAAUCCAAUUCUCGAGGAUGCCAUAUUCCGCCCUUUACUUUUCAUGAAUGCAAAUUUUUGGUGCAAAAUUGGGAAAUCCAAGAGGAAUUUGCGCAAAGGGACACGAUUGAGAGAAGAAUGAAGAGGUUACAUUGAAGUAUGGUCGUGUUUCUUUGUUAGCUGUUUUACUGAGCAUCACUGUCAGACUUGAUGUUGCUUACUGUUUACAAUGGAGUAUAUGAAAGAAGAUUUUUUUUGAACAAGCCAAAAAGUAUAUGAAAGAAGAUGUUUCAUAUUUAUUUAUUUUUUUGAGGGGGAAAGAUGUUUCAUAUUGUUAAAUGCAAAUGAUUAUUAUUUAUUUAAUCAAAAGUGACCGUAAAAAUUGAUUUAGUUGAUUUCA
This is a long non-coding RNA of Medicago truncatula (barrel medic), 5740 nucleotides long. RefSeq lists it as uncharacterized. The transcript is spliced from 4 exons. NCBI's taxonomy places the organism in Eukaryota, Viridiplantae, Streptophyta, Magnoliopsida, Fabales, Fabaceae. The record is from RefSeq and is a predicted model, not a curated record.